Molecule: ribosomal RNA, 751 nt
Filed under: uncultured Glomus
Lineage: Eukaryota; Fungi; Glomeromycota; Glomeromycetes; Glomerales; Glomeraceae
Description: SSU rRNA
Rfam family: Eukaryotic small subunit ribosomal RNA
Source: RNAcentral
GGCCUACCAUGGUGGUAACGGGUAACGGGGUGUUAGGGCACGACACCGGAGAGGGAGCCUGAGAAACGGCUACCACAUCCAAGGAUGGCAGCAGGCGCGCAAAUUACCCAAUCCCGACACGGGGAGGUAGUGACAAUAAAUAACAAUACGGGGUUCUUUCGGAUCUCGUAAUUGGAAUGAGUACAAUUUAAAUCUCUUAACGAGGAACAAUUGGAGGGCAAGUCUGGUGCCAGCAGCCGCGGUAAUUCCAGCUCCAAUAGCGUAUAUUAAAGUUGUUGCAGUUAAAAAGCUCGUAGUUGAAUUUCGGGGUUAGCAGGUCGGUCGUGCCAUCGGUAUGAACUGGCCUCGCUGAUCCCUCCCUCUUGACGAACUGUGAUGCCAUUAAUUUGGUGUCGCAGGGAAUCAGGACUGUUACUUUGAAAAAAUUAGAGUGUUUAAAGCAGGCUCACGCUUGAAUACAUUAGCAUGGAAUAAUGAAAUAGGACGUUUGAUCCUAUUUUGUUGGUUUCUAGGAUUGACGUAAUGAUUAAUAGGGAUAGUUGGGGGCAUUAGUAUUCAAUUGUCAGAGGUGAAAUUCUUGGAUUUAUUGAAGACUAACUACUGCGAAAGCAUUUGCCAAGGAUGUUUUCAUUAAUCAAGAACGAAAGUUAGGGGAUCGAAGACGAUCAGAUACCGUCGUAGUCUUAACCAUAAACUAUGCCGACUAGGGAUCGGAUGAUGUUAUUUUUAAUGACUCAUUCGGCGCCUUACG